AUAAUACUCCAUAGAUUAGAGACACUGGAAUGUUCUUUAGUCGAAAGUUCUGGCGCCUUAGGAUGGAUCUGCGGUCGAUUAGGUUGUUGUUGGGGUAACGGCCCAACAAGCCUGUAAUCGAUACGGGUUGUGGGAGCAAGAGCCCGGAGAUGGAAUCUGAGACACGAUUCCAGGCCCUACGGGGCGCAGCAGGCGCGAAAACUUUACAAUGCAGGAAACUGUGAUAAGGGAACUCCGAGUGCCCGUAUACGCGGGCUGUCCAGGUGUUUAAAAAUCAUCUGAAGAAAGGGCCGGGCAAGACCGGUGCCAGCCGCCGCGGUAAUACCGGCGGCUCGAGUGGUGGCCACUAUUAUUGGGCUUAAAGCGUCCGUAGCUGGACCGAUAAGUCUCUUGGGAAAUCCGCCGGCUCAACCGGCGGGCGUCUAAGGGAUACUGUUAGUCUAGGGACCGGGAGAGGUGUGAGGUACUCCGGGGGUAGGAGUGAAAUCCUGUAAUCCCCGGGGGACCACCGAUGGCGAAGGCAUCUCACCAGAACGGCUCCGACAGUGAGGGACGAAAGCUGGGGGAGCGAACCGGAUUAGAUACCCGGGUAGUCCCAACCGUAAACUAUGCGCGUUAGGUGU
RNAcentral lists this ribosomal RNA (623 nucleotides) under uncultured archaeon. RNAcentral's name for it is "bacterial SSU rRNA". It matches the Rfam family "Archaeal small subunit ribosomal RNA", at positions 146 to 774 of the family's 1478-position model. The record is from RNAcentral.